This 5097-nucleotide long non-coding RNA is filed under the name Sus scrofa (pig). Its description in RNAcentral is "lncRNA (ENSSSCG00035032520.1)". Lineage: Eukaryota; Metazoa; Chordata; Mammalia; Artiodactyla; Suidae. The record is from RNAcentral.
AAUCAUGGUUUAGGAGUGGGUUUAAAAAUCUGCUGAGCCUCUUGGCUAAAUCAUAUUAGAAAUAACAGUCUUGAGUUCACCUGAUUUUCUCUGACAUUUAUUGGAAAACUGCUAACUAACGUUUACCACGAUUUCAGAAAGUCACUCAGCUACUUCAAGGCACAUUUUCGAUCGCACGUCCAAGUGAGAGCCGUUCAAGACCAGACGCCACGCCAGAGACAGGGGGUUUUCCUCUGCGGCCGGAGAGGCUGGUCUUUGUUUUAAAUAACCAGGCAGAAUGUGCUGGCUUUGAGGGGAUUCAAGGCUUUCUCUUCCCUCCCCCUCUCUUCUUUCUCCUUGGCCUCUAGUUUUUAAGAAAAAUGCUGAUGGUUUUCAAAGGUAACGUGGCAGCGAUGCGCACGGAGAGAGGCGGGGACGGUGCCAAGGAGGGGCUUUAUUUUGACUCUCGUGCCUCCCGUCUUAACAAAACGUGCAUUAAUAUCUUCCUUCCUUCCUCCCCCGACCCCUCCCUCCCUUGCUUUUGCAACCCAAGGAUGUGGGCACGUUUGGUGGGGGACCUAGAGGUCUUGUCACUUUUUUGCAGAAAUGCCUCCCUUCACUUACCGUUCAAUAUCACCCGCUGGUUUUACUCUAGGUAAAAAAUAAGCCGUGUAAGAGGGACAGAAGAAGGCUGGGCUCUCUUUAGUAAACUCUACGAUGCUGUAUCGGGCUCCCCGCUUUUUUUUUUUUUUUUUUUUAAUAAAGAGGGGGAUCCACACUUCUUUUUACUGGUUCAUGAGAAUUUUUGCUUUUAGGCGCCCAGGAAACGGCGCUCAGUUUAAGGCCGGGAGAUGGAAAUAAUGUAUCUAUGCCCUGGUGUAUGUGUCUCAUUUUUUAUUCUAGUUAGUUUCGGGUGUGUUGCUCAAAACAUACACUAACUGCGCCUCACCGUCUCCUCCACGUCAAGUACGGUUUUCUUUUGAGUCCUUGCAAAUCCACUUUGGAAGAAAGUGUGGUCCCCGCUCUCUGAAGCAGCUCCACUCUUUUUCUGCCUUUUCUUGGCGCCUCCUGGUCCUCAGGGGGAUUUUCUUUUCAGGUGGCACAACUGGGAGUUCCAGGGACCCGCACUUCCGACAGCCCUCAGGGCCCGAGAACAGUGAGGACACUGUGUAUUAGGCCCUUCGAUCCCUCCGAUGAGCUGAGGCUCGGAUCGGGGUUAAGGGGGGACACUUCCUCCCGGACCGAGGGGGUCAGGGCUACUCUUGCCCUUUCUGGAUAAGGCAGCUGCUGACCUUACGUCCAGAGACCGACACGUUAGGAGAAGAACGGCUAAUUCUUCUCUUUUCUCUUGGUUCUUUUCUGCCUUGUUUUUAAGCUGUGGAAAGGACUUCUGGAAAUGCUGCCCAUCUGACGUCUUAUUCUUCUGUACGUGGGGCCCCUCGCAGCCACCCUGCUGAAGAGCAUGGGCCCAGGGCGCCAGACUUUUUAGAAGGCUCCUUUCUGGUUUUCUAUUUCUGAGGACCCUCAACGUGAAGAAAGGCAAACUUGGUAUUCAAUAACCACCCAGGAUGGAGCUGUCAGCUCGAGGUGUCAAGAGAACCGGUUUAUAAAAAGCCUGGUUAAAUAUAGGAAGUACAGUUGCAUUCCAGGUAACCGGAGAUUUGAACACCCAAUACGACUUUAAGGGAAGCAAUCUGUUUUGGCCCAUUUUCAGGGAUAUAUAAUAUAUUACACCUAUUUUAAGACCUAUCAGUUUUCCUCCUUAGCUGUUUCUCAACUCGACCAGAAAACGCUUCCUCUAGCCUCACUCGUGUUCCAGGAUGAGCCAUAUGUGUAUUCCUUACCUUUCUCUUCCCCCAACUACAAUAAAUACAUUCUUAACUAUUACACAUACAUACCCUAAUGUUUGCUGUUGUUGUUGUUUUUAAAAAAACCCAAAUGUUAAGUACUCCAUUAUGAUUUAAUCUUCUACCACCAGAAUCCAAAACCUGAAAUUUGAGGGGUUUCUGGUCUUAUUUUAAAAGAAAAAAUUAAAAAAGGAACAUUCAUGAAUAGUUUGGCAUCUUUUACUAUUUCAACGUUUUAUAAAUUUUUCUUUUAGGGCCACACCUGCAGCAUAUGGAAGUUCCCAGGCUAGGGGUCAAAUUGGAAACGCAGCUUCUGGCCUACACCACAGCCACGAUAACACCAGAUCCAAGCCACAUCUGCAACCUACACCACAGCUCAUGGCAAAGCCUACCGAGGGAGGCCAGGGAUGGAACCCAAAACCUCGUGGAUACAAGCCGGGUUCAUUACUGCUGAGCCACAACGGGAACUCCAACAUUUUAUAAUUUUAACUAUCUUAGAAAUCCCGUUUUUUUCCCUUCCUUGUCAGUAGGGCGGGGGCUUUACUGUGUCGAGACUCUGUCUCCUCAUCUGUAAAAUGGGGCCACUACCUGCGUUGCAGGUGGUUUUAAGGAUUUAAAGGUAACCUACACCUGAUGCCUGGCACACAAAGAGCCGCUCACCCUCCCCAAGCACUGCUGUUUUGCACCUGCCAACCUAGGCAGGCAGCCCUUGGUCGUGGAGGGCCUGCCCACCUCAGCUUUGGCCCACCCACCCUAACAGCCUACACUGCACCCAGGUUGUGUGAGUGGCAAUUCAUCAUUUUAAAAGACACGUGGCUAAUUUUUCUGCUCCCACUACUACAAAGAGUCCCGGGGCUCCUCCAGGAUCGAAUUUCCCGUGGCCCCUAGGGGUAGAAAGAUGAAUUGUUUGAUUACCAGGAGAAACAAGAGCCUGUGUGUCGGGCUGCUUUGCAAAUCAAUUCACCUCCCCACAAAGAUGCUCCUUCCUACUUAAGAUACAUGGCUUUGCAAGGCGUUUGGCAGCAUCCGUGUUUGCCGUGUCAGAGGGCAAGGUGCAUGCAGAUGUAAUAUCACCAAGCACUGUAAUCUGAGUGUGUAAGAAAAAUAACUGCAGACGGCGGGCUGGAGCCCGAGGGGACCCUUUUGCCACGGGCCCUGACAGCACCUCAAAUAAGCACCUUACCUAAUCUCCCUUGGUGAUGCCUGUCUGUGCCCAGUGAUUUCAUGCAGCUGCCAUCUGCUCACCACUGAGGGCAUGUUGAUGGUGGCAGUACUGUAAUUACAGCCAGGGUCUCUGAUGGCCACGUAGGCCCACUGCCGAGAAGGGACAAGACCCUGACAAAACGGGUGGGAGGGAGCCAAGGGGUGAACGUUACAGCCAGCAUGGUGGGCUAAAGCUUCUCCUUUCAUUUAACUCUGUAUCCCCAGGGCUUGACAUGGAGGAAUGCCCAGUAAAUACUGGGGAUGGAAAGGAGUGAAUAAAGGCCCCCCAAGAGUUGGCAUCGCCAGCACUAGGCAACCAUCAUUAUCUACAUACAGUUUGGGGGCUUUUUUUUUUUUUUUGGUCUUUUAGCCUUUUCUAGGGCCGCUCCCAUAGCAUAUGGAGGCUCCCAGGCUAGGGUCUAAUUGGAGCUGUAGCCACUGGCCUACACCAGAGCCACAGCAAUGCAGAAUCCGAGCCACAUCUACAACCCACACCACAGCUCACGGCAACACUGGAUCCUUAACCCACGGAGCAAGGCCAGGGAUCGAACCCACAACCUCAUGGUUCCUAGUCAUAUUCGUUAACCACUGAGCCAUGACGGGAACUCCUGGGGGCUAUUUUACAAAUAUUUGUAACGAGCUGUUUAUAAUAUAUGGACAAAUCCAUUCAUUCACUCAUCAAAAAUGCACUGAAGGGCCACUCUGCCCAAGGUCUGGUAACCUUUGUACUUCGGGACCUCAACCCAGAUCCCAGGACACAAAGGGCACUGAGCACGUGUCAGAUGCAGGGAUGGAUCGGGACCAGGGAAGGAAGAGCUGAGCCUGUGGAGAAAGUAUACUUCUGCCACCCUCUAGGUCUGCAGAGCCCCUGUGUCCCAGCCAAGUUCAAUACUCCUUGGGGCAGAUGGACCUGGGGCUUCCUAGGCCACCAUGCACCGCAGCUGCCCUGAAGGAGGGCUCUGAGGGCUACAGGGGCUCCGAGACCCUAGGAGGCUCAGCCUCAGAAGGACACAAGAGACCAAGGAUGAGCCCCUCCAGUGACAGUGGGGAAACCGGGCUGAGAGAAGGGUCACGGGGCUAGGACUGAGCUCCGGGAUGUUGACUAGCCUCUGCCCAGCUGCGCCCACAGCACCUCCCCUUAAGCUGGGCAACACUCGUGAGCUGAUGCUCUAGGGAGGAAGAGACGGCCAGUGAAGGAGGAACGAACGCAUCCAUAGAGCGCUCUAAGUGCUCGGCAGGAAAGAACCAGCGUGGGCUGGGAGGGACGGGGGUGAACCAACGCCCCCACUUACUCAUCUUGCUUAAGCCUCUCUGAGGUGCAACACCUCGUGUGUACACGGGGAGGCUAAUGAGAGUACCUGUGUCACGGGGCUCUAACGAGAUGCUGACGACAUAGUCUCGCGUAGAAUGGGAGCGCUUUGUCAAUAGUGAAAUGACAGUGAUUAUAUUGCUUUUAUUUAGAUAGAGGGGUCAGGGUCGGCCUCUGAGGACGUGAUCUUUGAACUGAGUCAGAAAGAUGAGACAGCAUCAUCAAGAGGAGCAAGGUGUGCAAAGGCCUUGAGGCAGGUGCAGGCUGUGUGCGUUUGAGGAACGGAAAGAAGACUGGACUGGCUGGAGGGGACAGGGCAAGACUGGGCAUGGUGUGAAAUAAAAUCUGCAAGGUGGGCAGGACUCCAGGCCUGCAGGACAAGCGAGCCGGGUACAGAGCGUAGAUUUUUAUCUUAAGUAGAGCGCCGAGCCACUGGGGUGUAAGGGCACAGCUGAUACAAUACUGCUGAGUAACAAGCAACCCUGAAACCUCAGGAGUUCACAAGACCACGUUUCUUUCUCUCCUAUGCUGGGCUCUGGGCUGGUGGGGAGGGUUGCCCAGCAUGAGCUGGGCUUGGCUGAACUUGGUCCCCAGUGGAAAGUCAGGUUCAGGUCUUCCUUACCUUUCUCAUUCGGAGGCUCCAGCUGCAGAGGCACCGGACAUGAGAAAAGUGCAAGGGGCAAAAACCCAGUCAUGCAGCCCAUUUCGAGACUCCGCUCGCAGCGUGGUAGCACAGAUUCCACGGGCGAAACAAAGUCA